AGAGAGGUGCUCGAGUGGUUGAAGAGGCUACCCUGGAAAGGUAGUAUACGGGUAACCGUAUCGAGGGUUCGAAUCCCUUCCUCUCUGCUA
This 90-nucleotide transfer RNA is filed under the name Apibacter adventoris. RNAcentral describes it as "tRNA-Ser". It matches the Rfam family "tRNA". Rfam says of the family: Transfer RNA (tRNA) molecules are approximately 80 nucleotides in length. Their secondary structure includes four short double-helical elements and three loops (D, anti-codon, and T loops). Further hydrogen bonds mediate the characteristic L-shaped molecular structure. tRNAs have two regions of fundamental functional importance: the anti-codon, which is responsible for specific mRNA codon recognition, and the 3' end, to which the tRNAs corresponding amino acid is attached (by aminoacyl-tRNA synthetases). tRNAs cope with the degeneracy of the genetic code in two manners: having more than one tRNA (with a specific anti-codon) for a particular amino acid; and 'wobble' base-pairing, i.e. permitting non-standard base-pairing at the 3rd anti-codon position. The record is from RNAcentral. Lineage: Bacteria; Pseudomonadati; Bacteroidota; Flavobacteriia; Flavobacteriales; Weeksellaceae.